UUACAUAAUACCGGAAAUAGAUGGAUUACCAAAAUAAAUUAAAAUAAGUAUACGAACCCGAGUCGCGUAAAAUUGCAUCGGCUUUGUCCAUUGACCCAGGAUCAUUGAUUAGGUUUUAUCCAUCAUUUACCGGAAGUGUCAUUUCUUUAAAUUUUGUAUUGAAAUUCAGAUUGAUAAAUACUUUUAAAUAAUAAGCCGGGCAAGCAAGACAAAAAGAGUGAUGAGUCGAGUAGAAAACAUAAAACGCAAAUGGAGGACACAGAGUAUUUAAAAAAAAACGGAAGCGAGAAUUUCAGACAUUGUGGAUAUCAGAUUGCCCCUGGCUAUCUAGAAUGGAAAUUCGCAAAAUAAAUUAAGUUUUUGUCUUAUUUAUUG
RNAcentral lists this long non-coding RNA (375 nucleotides) under Mytilus galloprovincialis (Mediterranean mussel). The record is from RNAcentral. Lineage: Eukaryota; Metazoa; Mollusca; Bivalvia; Mytilida; Mytilidae.